RNAcentral lists this long non-coding RNA (784 nucleotides) under Cyanistes caeruleus (blue tit). RNAcentral's name for it is "lncRNA (ENSCCEG00000012519.1)". Lineage: Eukaryota; Metazoa; Chordata; Aves; Passeriformes; Paridae. The record is from RNAcentral.
GGGAGGCCGGGCCGUGAGGGAGGCCGAGCCGUGAGGGAGGCGCUGCCCCGGCCCGGCCCGACCCGGGUGAGCCGCCCCAGCCGGCUCCGGCCCUCGCCUUUUUCUUUCGCCAGAGCAUUACGUCAUGCUUUUUCCUCCACGUGGAGAAAUAACAUUGUUAAGAGUUCUGAAGGACUACUGCCAGUUCUACACAUAGGGAUAAGAGAAUCAGCCCAUGUUCACAAAGACUAUUGCUCACACAAGCAAGAGUUACAAUAUUUUUCUGAGCACACUGGUCAUUCAUGUAGAGGCACCUCUAACAAGAAUCUGUUAGAUCCCACGAGAAUCUUGAUUUUCAUUAAUUGCUGACCAUUUGUCAGCAGUCUUGAAGUUCAUCUCAGCAGUGUUUGCUUCAACUAUGACAGAGAAAUCUCAAAUAGAGAAUGGAGUGUGAAAUAACCCCUGUAUGCUUAAGGGAGAACUUCCUGCUCUGCUUUUUUUCCACUGAUCUUCUGACUGAGGCUUUCCCAUCUAAAGGUCUGAUAGCCAGAAGCAGAGGCCUUAAAGAUGUCAUAAACCAAUUUCCAUUAUUUUUGGGCUAUUUUGUCUGAAGUUCCAUCUCCUUUCAACUAUUUACAGUAGGUAGAAAGCCUUUCAUACUACCGCUUCUUUCAGACUUUGAGGAAAAGAGCAUUUUCCUUUAUGAAAAUAUGUUUCUACUAUAGCUGUCAGGUUAUAGUAGUAGUAGUACUUUAUAUCUAUGCAAGGAAAUAAAAUGAAAGAGGUUUUUUUCCUUUCUUUAACU